RNAcentral lists this ribosomal RNA (1445 nucleotides) under uncultured organism. RNAcentral's name for it is "16S ribosomal RNA". It matches the Rfam family "Bacterial small subunit ribosomal RNA". The record is from RNAcentral.
CGCUGGCGGCAGGCCUAACACAUGCAAGUCGAACGGUAACAGGAAACAGCUUGCUGUUUCGCUGACGAGUGGCGGACGGGUGAGUAAUGUCUGGGAAACUGCCUGAUGGAGGGGGAUAACUACUGGAAACGGUAGCUAAUACCGCAUAACGUCGCAAGACCAAAGAGGGGGACCUUCGGGCCUCUUGCCAUCGGAUGUGCCCAGAUGGGAUUAGCUUGUUGGUGGGGUAACGGCUCACCAAGGCGACGAUCCCUAGCUGGUCUGAGAGGAUGACCAGCCACACUGGAACUGAGACACGGUCCAGACUCCUACGGGAGGCAGCAGUGGGGAAUAUUGCACAAUGGGCGCAAGCCUGAUGCAGCCAUGCCGCGUGUAUGAAGAAGGCCUUCGGGUUGUAAAGUACUUUCAGCGGGGAGGAAGGGAGUAAAGUUAAUACCUUUGCUCAUUGACGUUACCCGCAGAAGAAGCACCGGCUAACUCCGUGCCAGCAGCCGCGGUAAUACGGAGGGUGCAAGCGUUAAUCGGAAUUACUGGGCGUAAAGCGCACGCAGGCGGUUUGUUAAGUCAGAUGUGAAAUCCCCGGGCUCAACCUGGGAACUGCAUCUGAUACUGGCAAGCUUGAGUCUCGUAGAGGGGGGUAGAAUUCCCGGUGUAGCGGUGAAAUGCGUAGAGAUCUGGAGGAAUACCGGUGGCGAAGGCGGCCCCCUGGACGAAGACUGACGCUCAGGUGCGAAAGCGUGGGGAGCAAACAGGAUUAGAUACCCUGGUAGUCCACGCCGUAAACGAUGUCGACUUGGAGGUUGUGCCCUUGAGGCGUGGCUUCCGGAGCUAACGCGUUAAGUCGACCGCCUGGGGAGUACGGCCGCAAGGUUAAAACUCAAAUGAAUUGACGGGGGCCCGCACAAGCGGUGGAGCAUGUGGUUUAAUUCGAUGCAACGCGAAGAACCUUACCUGGUCUUGACAUCCACAGAACUUUCCAGAGAUGGAUUGGUGCCUUCGGGAACUGUGAGACAGGUGCUGCAUGGCUGUCGUCAGCUCGUGUUGUGAAAUGUUGGGUUAAGUCCCGCAACGAGCGCAACCCUUAUCCUUUGUUGCCAGCGGUCCGGCCGGGAACUCAAAGGAGACUGCCAGUGAUAAACUGGAGGAAGGUGGGGAUGACGUCAAGUCAUCAUGGCCCUUACGACCAGGGCUACACACGUGCUACAAUGGCGCAUACAAAGAGAAGCGACCUCGCGAGAGCAAGCGGACCUCAUAAAGUGCGUCGUAGUCCGGAUUGGAGUCUGCAACUCGACUCCAUGAAGUCGGAAUCGCUAGUAAUCGUGGAUCAGAAUGCCACGGUGAAUACGUUCCCGGGCCUUGUACACACCGCCCGUCACACCAUGGGAGUGGGUUGCAAAAGAAGUAGGUAGCUUAACCUUCGGGAGGGCGCUUACCACUUUGUGAUU